GAUGGAGACUGUUGGGGAGGAAAAGCGUUCACCUGUCCUUCCCUCUAGGAACUUCCACAAGGCUGGAUAUCUGGUGAAUACUCCUCCAAAAGACCAGCAGCAUGCAAUGGAUCACAAGGCAAAGAGCAGAGCAGCGAGUACAAUGAUGGAGAGCACGAGUGGGGCGGAGUCAGUGACAAGUUACUAUGACAACACAUGAUGGAGGAGUUACAAGGUGACACUGUGGAGUUUGCGGACGACCCAUUGGACGUCUUGCACUGCAAAUAAAGGAACACAAUUAAGAAAUAAUUCGUGAGGGUCAGUUGUUCACUCUGUUGGAUGCUGAUGAUGAUCCACCCAUUGGACGUCAGAUAAAAAUACAAUCGACCUAAGAAACAGACUGAACACCAGCCCCUGGCAUGUAUCAUGAGGGACGCUGUACAGAGAUGUUAGGGCAAGUUCCUUUAAUUAGAUCGAGAUAUUGUAAUUAUUUCCUUCUUCCAGGUUGUCGGUCGCUAAAUGUGCUUAUAGUUGCCAUGGAGAUGGAGAUGGUAAUUGAUGACUGAAGUCAUGUACCUACCUCUCGAUAGAAGGAAACAAGGAUUUGUCAAUAAUUAUAGUACUGUGAUAUACUAUUAUACCAGGGGGCAUGUGAUUCAUAUAUACGGAUGGUCCCAGAGCCACUUUGUAGACUUCAUUGUAAAACAUCACGUGAAUCACUUCCGUUUCCAAUCCUUCUUCCUCUUCUAUCGUAUAUAAUUAUAGAAUGACCACCACAUUACCAUCAUAUUAUUUAUCUACCACACAUUCAAGCUUUAUCCCAUACCCCACUGCACCAUAAACUUUUACACAUCACAUGCAUACCAUAAUUAUUAAACUAUUAACUUAAGUUGCAAAAUUAAUGUUCAUCAGUUACAAUCUUUACUUUUGACAUGAGGAAAACUCCAGAUUGGAACUUUACAACAACUCUAUACACGUGUUUACCAAGUUGUUGGGUAAGAGAGUGUUCAAGAGAUACCUCUAGCUGUUCUUGGACUCCCCAUAUUUCAUGGACUGGUGGGUUAAUUAUUAUGACUCUAGAAGCCAUUAUUUACAAUAUCAUACAAGUUUGCUCCAAAACACUUUCUGUUUGUGUACUUUGUUGCAAUUUCAACAUUGAUAAUGUACUCCAGUUAUUUACAUGUACACACAUGCAUGCACAUGCACACAAAUGUCUGGUGCAAUAUGCUGGAGUCUCACCUCACUAUGUCAGCUGCUGGGGAGAAUGAUCCUCAGAGGGAGAAUAAAACAACACAAUCCAAUAUCCUGAUCCUGACAACAGAAUAUUGAUUUCUAAAUCUUGAUUCAAGUUCACUGUCUGAUCCAAGUUCACUUCUGACAGCAGCAUCAAGUUUCUCCCACAUUUAGAUUAUUUCACUGACAGCAGAAUACUGAUUUCCUCAACUCUCAUUUCUCAACUCUCAUUUCUCAAAUCCUGGCUAUGCCUUUGACGAAGGUUUGCUCCCACUGUUUGGCUGUAGGUCAUGUAAGACGGUCCAUUUGCACUGACUGUGGAAACCCAUUCUUAGUGAAGCGAUCAAAGGUGCGAAGCAGAAGGUCUCGAGGUAUCAUCAUACAGUGUAAAGAUCAAUCUACCUGCUCAAUGAUACAACAC
This is a long non-coding RNA of Halichondria panicea, 1633 nucleotides long. RefSeq lists it as uncharacterized. The record is from RefSeq and is a predicted model, not a curated record. Lineage: Eukaryota; Metazoa; Porifera; Demospongiae; Suberitida; Halichondriidae. The transcript has 8 exons.